Molecule: ribosomal RNA, 634 nt
Filed under: Penicillium gladioli
Lineage: Eukaryota; Fungi; Ascomycota; Eurotiomycetes; Eurotiales; Aspergillaceae
Description: eukaryotic LSU rRNA
Rfam family: Eukaryotic large subunit ribosomal RNA
Source: RNAcentral
UUGACCUCGGAUCAGGUAGGGAUACCCGCUGAACUUAAGCAUAUCAAUAAGCGGAGGAAAAGAAACCAACAGGGAUUGCCCCAGUAACGGCGAGUGAAGCGGCAAGAGCUCAAAUUUGAAAGCUGGCUCCUUCGGGGUCCGCAUUGUAAUUUGCAGAGGAUGCUUCGGGAGCGGUCCCCAUCUAAGUGCCCUGGAACGGGACGUCAUAGAGGGUGAGAAUCCCGUAUGGGAUGGGGUGUCCGCGCCCGUGUGAAGCUCCUUCGACGAGUCGAGUUGUUUGGGAAUGCAGCUCUAAAUGGGUGGUAAAUUUCAUCUAAAGCUAAAUAUUGGCCGGAGACCGAUAGCGCACAAGUAGAGUGAUCGAAAGAUGAAAAGCACUUUGAAAAGAGAGUUAAAAAGCACGUGAAAUUGUUGAAAGGGAAGCGCUUGCGACCAGACUCGCUCGCGGGGUUCAGCCGGCAUUCGUGCCGGUGUAUUUCCCCGCGGGCGGGCCAGCGUCGGUUUGGGCGGUCGGUCAAAGGCCCUCGGAAGGUAACGCCCCCAGGGGCGUCUUAUAGCCGAGGGUGCAAUGCGACCUGCCUAGACCGAGGAACGCGCUUCGGCUCGGACGCUGGCAUAAUGGUCGUAAGCGACC